GAUCAUUACAGUUGGGGCCCCGCCCCGAUCAAGAUACCACCCCUUGCAUUUUGAGUACCUCUGUUUCCUCGGCGGGCACGCCCGCCAAUGGGGACCACAAAGAAACCUCUUGCAGUUGCAGUAAACGUCAAAAACAAAACAAAAAUCAAAACUUUCAACAACGGAUCUCUUGGUUCUGGCAUCGAUGAAGAACGCAGCGAAAUGCGAUAAGUAGUGUGAAUUGCAGAAUUCAGUGAAUCAUCGAAUCUUUGAACGCACAUUGCGCCCUUUGGUAUUCCUUAGGGCAUGCCUGUUCGAGCGUCAUCUAAAACCCUCAAGCUCCGCUUGGUGUUGGGCGCCUUGUCCCGCCCCCCUCGGGGGUGCGCGGACUCGCCUCAAAAGUAUUGGCGGCCCGCGUGAACCGGCUUCGAGCGCAGCAGACCAGCGCCUCGCAAGACCCCCCCGCGCGGGCGUCCACGAAGACACCCCCCAAAGUUUGACCUCGGAUCAGGUAGGGAUACCCGCUGAACUUAAGCAUAUCAAUAAGCGGAGGAAAAGAAACCAACAGGGAUUGCCCUAGUAACGGCGAGUGAAGCGGCAAGAGCUCAAAUUUGAAAUCUGGCCCUCUCAGGGUCCGAGUUGUAAUUUGUAGAGGGCGCUUUGGCGUUGGCCCCGGCCUAAGUUCCUUGGAACAGGACGUCACAGAGGGUGAGAACCCCGUACGUGGCCGCCGGCCUCCGCCGUGUAAAGCCCCUUCGACGAGUCGAGUUGUUUGGGAAUGCAGCUCUAAAUGGGAGGUAAAUUUCUUCUAAAGCUAAAUACUGGCCAGAGACCGAUAGCGCACAAGUAGAGUGAUCGAAAGAUGAAAAGCACUUUGGAAAGAGAGUCAAAAAGCACGUGAAAUUGUUGAAAGGGAAGCGCUUGCAGCCAGACUUGCCUGUAGUUGUUCAUCCGUGCCACUGGCACGGUGCACUCUUCUGCGGGCAGGCCAGCAUCAGUCCGGGCGGUCGGAUAAAGGCCUCGGGAAUGUAGCUCCCCUCGGGGAGUGUUAUAGCCCGGGGUGCCAUGCGACCAGCCUGGA
RNAcentral lists this unclassified non-coding RNA (1060 nucleotides) under leaf metagenome. Its description in RNAcentral is "partial contains internal transcribed spacer 1, 5.8S ribosomal RNA, internal transcribed spacer 2, and large subunit ribosomal RNA". The stretch from base 477 to 1060 matches the Rfam family "Eukaryotic large subunit ribosomal RNA", at positions 1 to 588 of the family's 3401-position model. The record is from RNAcentral.